Molecule: long non-coding RNA, 321 nt
Filed under: Physcomitrium patens
Lineage: Eukaryota; Viridiplantae; Streptophyta; Bryopsida; Funariales; Funariaceae
Description: long non-coding RNA (PPAT_LNC013433)
Source: RNAcentral
ACAUCUCUUAGAGCUCUAGCUCACCUCUCUGGUGUUGUUCUUGUAUUCAUCUGAUUAAUCUAGUUCUUGCCUGUUCUUCUUGAACUUCUUGUUAGAUCUCGAGUCUGUAUUUCUGUGUCCGUGACAACACGCUCCAACGAGCUUGGCAACUAUUUAGAAUACGUAUCAAUGUGAAGUACUUGAGGUUCUUAUGAUCCAUAUGUAUAGUAACUAGAUUAGUAGCGUCUUUUAGAGAGUAAUGCCAUUCUUAAAAUGAAUCCAUGAUUGCAAGAAAUUUUUUAUUGUAAAUCUCAUAUAUUUACUUUAAAAAUAAAAAAAACU